Molecule: small RNA, 97 nt
Filed under: Arabidopsis thaliana (thale cress)
Lineage: Eukaryota; Viridiplantae; Streptophyta; Magnoliopsida; Brassicales; Brassicaceae
Description: ATSL126430
Source: RNAcentral
ACAUGAGAGUUAUGAGUUCGCCGUCAGGUUUUAAGAGUUCAUACAUAGAUUUAGCCCAUGCAGGUCUCAUCUCCGGUUCAAUGGCACAGAAGAACCU